This 117-nucleotide small nucleolar RNA is filed under the name Meriones unguiculatus (Mongolian gerbil). RNAcentral's name for it is "Small nucleolar RNA SNORA17 (ENSMUGG00000009963.1)". It matches the Rfam family "Small nucleolar RNA SNORA17". From Rfam's summary of the family: snoRNA ACA 17 belongs to the H/ACA family of snoRNAs and is predicted to guide pseudouridylation of the 28S rRNA at positions U4659 and U4598. It shares the same host gene together with ACA43. The record is from RNAcentral. Lineage: Eukaryota; Metazoa; Chordata; Mammalia; Rodentia; Muridae.
ACUUCCCCAGAGGCCUUGCAGAGGUUGCUGCUUUGUCACAUGUCUAUCCGUAAGUGGCACUGAGGAGAGAGGCUAUGUCUGACCUGUGAACCUCAGAAUAAUUAGUAGCCUAACAUU